This is a long non-coding RNA of Gossypium arboreum, 762 nucleotides long. RefSeq lists it as uncharacterized. The record is from RefSeq and is a predicted model, not a curated record. NCBI's taxonomy places the organism in Eukaryota, Viridiplantae, Streptophyta, Magnoliopsida, Malvales, Malvaceae. The transcript has 2 exons.
CCUAAUAAGACAAAUGAUAAAAGCUAUCAUUUUUUUUCAUUCUUUCUUCUUCAACCGUGGGAAAGAACAGAAAAUAGCAGCCAUGGAUGAGCUCCAUUCGGCCAAGCUUUUAUGGCUUAUAUAGAUGAUGAAAAUUGAGACUUGGACCUAGAACGGAAAGAAAUCGAUUUAUGGACGAGUAUGUCCUUUUCACAUUUGUGGUGUCGAGGUAAGUUCGUAUGUAAACAAUACCAUGCUAUACAUGUAUUUAAAUGUUAUCAUUACAUGAAUUGUACAGACAUUAAUGUGUAUGUAAUUAAUAGAAAUAUGAUAAGACAAAGCCUUAAUAGACGAGGAAAAAUCCCGUUUGAACCUUAGGAAUAGAAUAGGAUACGAGUGACAUGUCACUAGGAAUUAUGAGUCUAGAUGACUAGCUCGAGAGUGAGCAUUGAAAUGUCAUGAGAUAUGAGGUAGCUUUAGCUACAAUUGAGGCACUUAUGUGCAAAGGCUUUUCCGAGUAUCUAAUUAGUAUUCCAAGUGUUCAACGGGCAAUCCAAGGAAAGAGUUAAUGAUGGUCUCAAUGAGGUAAGUCAUUGGUGAGUAUGCACUCGAGUUAUGUUACGAGUUGUGCAAGUAUGUAUACUAAUCCUAUGAGAAUGCCUUGAUAUGUGAUGAUCUAUGAUGCAUAAUAUGUGUUCUUACCAUGAUGGAUAAAAUGGUGUUGUAUUAAUAUUAUGAACAAUGAUCAUGAAUGAGUAAUUUAGCCUUGACAGAUUUGAGUUA